UACGGAGGGAGCUAGCGUUGUUCGGAAUUACUGGGCGUAAAGCGCACGUAGGCGGCUUUGUAAGUUAGAGGUGAAAGCCCGGGGGCUCAACCCCCGGAAUUGCCUUUAAGACUGCAUCGCUUGAAUCCGGGAGAGGUGAGUGGAAUUCCGAGUGUAGAGGUGAAAAUUCGUAGAUAUUCGGAAGAACACCAGUGGCGAAGGCGGCUCACUGGACCGGUAUUGACGCUGAGGUGCGAAAGCGUGGGGAGCAAACAGG
Molecule: ribosomal RNA, 256 nt
Filed under: uncultured bacterium
Lineage: Bacteria
Description: partial 16S ribosomal RNA
Rfam family: Bacterial small subunit ribosomal RNA
Source: RNAcentral